CCUACGGGUGGCGGCAGUGGGGAAUAUUGGGCAAUGGGGGAAACCCUGACCCAGCAACGCCGCGUGAAGGAAGAAGGUCUUCGGAUUGUAAACUUCUUUGACGAGGGACGAAACAAAUGACGGUACCUCGAAAACAAGCCACGGCUAACUACGUGCCAGCAGCCCCGGUC
RNAcentral lists this ribosomal RNA (170 nucleotides) under uncultured bacterium. RNAcentral's name for it is "partial 16S rRNA". It matches the Rfam family "Bacterial small subunit ribosomal RNA", at positions 338 to 522 of the family's 1533-position model. The record is from RNAcentral.